RNAcentral lists this ribosomal RNA (429 nucleotides) under Bacteroidota bacterium. Its description in RNAcentral is "Bacteroidetes bacterium partial 16S ribosomal RNA". It matches the Rfam family "Bacterial small subunit ribosomal RNA", at positions 355 to 776 of the family's 1533-position model. The record is from RNAcentral. Lineage: Bacteria; Pseudomonadati; Bacteroidota.
UAGGGAAUCUUCCGCAAUGGACGCAAGUCUGACGGAGCAACGCCGCGUGAGUGAAGAAGGAUUUCGGUUCGUAAAACUCUGUUGUUAGAGAAGAACAGCGCAUAGAGUAACUGUUAUGCGUGUGACGGUAUCUAACCAGAAAGCCACGGCUAACUACGUUCCAGCAGCCGCGGUAAUACGUAGGUGGCAAGCGUUGUCCGGAUUUAUUGGGCGUAAAGCGAGGGCAGGCGGUCAAUUAAGUCUGAUGUGAAAGCCCCGGGCUCAACCGGGGAGGGUCUUUGGAAACUGGUUGGCUUGAGUGCAGAAGGGGAGAGUGGAAUUCCAUGUGUAGCGGUGAAAUGCGUAGAUAUAUGGAGGAACACCAGUGGCGAAGGCGACUCUCUGGUCUGUAACUGACGCAGAGGCUCGAAAGCGUGGGUAGCAAACAGG